Molecule: long non-coding RNA, 1251 nt
Organism: Humulus lupulus (European hop)
Lineage: Eukaryota; Viridiplantae; Streptophyta; Magnoliopsida; Rosales; Cannabaceae
Exons: 2
Source: RefSeq, a predicted model, not a curated record
UGUAUCACGGGGUCAAUAAAGAUUGAGGAAUCCCCAAGAUCUGAUAUCCGAGGAGGAAAAAAUUGAUCCAUUCGUAGAAACGCAUUGAGACAGUCAACGUACCACCAACCACCCAAAAGAAAUCAAAGCCAACCUCCCCUAACCCCACUAAUCUAGCAAGGUUAUGAUUGAAAUCCACUUUUAUUGUAAAAUUAAAAUAAAGCACAGCCAAAAAACUAGGCACAAAAUAAAAAUAAAAAAAUUGAAAAACAAACAACAUAUCCUCAUACACCCCACUACCCACUAGCGGCACCAGCCCCCGAUUCAAACCCAAAGCUUCAAACCCCAACGACUACACAUCCCACCAGCGUGUAGGCUUCGAGCGCCGUCUCACCCAAGUGGAUCAGAUCCUGGCCACCCUCACAAGACAGCCACGAACCGAGAUUACCAUAGAAGAAGAAGACCAGGCCAGAGGAGGAGCGGUGAAGAGGUUGUUGCGGAGUCAAUAAUUGUAUCUUGGCUGAAGACUUGCCGAAGCCCGGAGGCAGACCAGCGAAUCCCCGACCGAGAGGAAGCUAUGAGGCGACGGCUAGGGUUUCGUAAUACCCUAUGCUAGAGAUAAUAAGUAUAAGAGAGUUUUUUACGAAUAGAAAGGUCCAGAUUUACAUAUAUAUCUCUGUCUCAUUGUAACUUUUGGAACAUGGAAUGUUGAGUGUACUAGGGGACUCAUUGAAAAAGAAGAGAAAUAAAGCCAAGCAAAGGGCAUGCAUGCCAAACUCCCAUCACCAUCACCACCACCACCAUCAUCAUCAUCAUCGUCCAAAUUGAUAUAAACCCUAAAACAACUGGGAUGAUUUUCUUCUUCCAAUUUCUCCAUAAAAGAGAAAAUGAGAGUCUCCUAGCAAGCUAUGGAUAAUGUCGAUCUGUGUGUGUGUGUGUGUGAAAAAGAGGGGUGUAGUGUAAUCGUGUCACGGGAAUGUGGUGUGUCAUUAACAUUAUUAACAGUAAAAAAGAAAAGAAAAGAAAAUUUGAACGUGGUCCAUGCAAGUCUAUUUAGGAGUGGGCUCAAGUAGAUUGCACGCGUCCUUAGAGUUUGGCAAGAGUGAGAGAGAGACAGAAUUAAAAACGACGAAAACUACUUCUCUUCUUAUUUGCUUCUUUUAUUGUCGUCAUUCAUUACGCCUCUUAAACCCUUAAACCUACUGCUUCUCCUCUCUAGAGUGGGCUCUUUAUAUAAAUAUAUAUAUAGAUAUAUGUACAUGUUAAUGUUCA